UGAUAUGUAGCUUAGUGGUAGAGUGCUUGCCUAGCACGUGUGAGACCCUGGGUUCGAUUCUCAGCACCACAU
This 72-nucleotide transfer RNA is filed under the name Ictidomys tridecemlineatus (thirteen-lined ground squirrel). RNAcentral's name for it is "Spermophilus tridecemlineatus (thirteen-lined ground squirrel) tRNA". It matches the Rfam family "tRNA". Rfam says of the family: Transfer RNA (tRNA) molecules are approximately 80 nucleotides in length. The record is from Rfam by way of RNAcentral. Lineage: Eukaryota; Metazoa; Chordata; Mammalia; Rodentia; Sciuridae.